GAUGAACGCUGGCGGCGUGCCUAAUACAUGCAAGUAGAACGCUGAAGGAGGAGCUUGCUCUUUCCGGAUGAGUUGCGAACGGGUGAGUAACGCGUAGGUAACCUGCCUGGUAGCGGGGGAUAACUAUUGGAAACGAUAGCUAAUACCGCAUAACAGUAGAUAUUGCAUGAUAUUUGCUUGAAAGGGGCAAUUGCUCCACUACCAGAUGGACCUGCGUUGUAUUAGCUAGUUGGUGAGGUAACGGCUCACCAAGGCGACGAUACAUAGCCGACCUGAGAGGGUGAUCGGCCACACUGGGACUGAGACACGGCCCAGACUCCUACGGGAGGCAGCAGUAGGGAAUCUUCGGCGAUGGACGGAAGUCUGACCGAGCAACGCCGCGUGAGUGAAGAAGGUUUUCGGAUCGUAAAGCUCUGUUGUAAGAGAAGAACGAGUGUGAGAGUGGAAAGUUCACACUGUGACGGUAUCUUACCAGAAAGGGACGGCUAACUACGUG
This 496-nucleotide ribosomal RNA is filed under the name uncultured bacterium. RNAcentral describes it as "partial 16S ribosomal RNA". It matches the Rfam family "Bacterial small subunit ribosomal RNA", at positions 28 to 507 of the family's 1533-position model. The record is from RNAcentral.